CAAAGGAAUUGAGGGACCCGCACAAGCAGCGGAGCGUGUGGUUUAAUUCGUUGCUACACGAAGAACCUUACCUGGGUUUGACAUAUAGGUUGUAGGGAACUGAAAGGGACCGACCCUUCGGGGAGCCUAUACAGGUGUUGCAUGGCUGUCGUCAGCUCGUGUCGUGAGAUGUUCGGUUAAGUCCGCUAACGAGCGCAACCCUCGUCGUAUGUUAUAUGUGUCAUACGAGACUGCCGGUAAAAAGCCGGAGGAAGGUGAGGAUGAUGUCAAGUCAGCAUGACCUUUAUAUCCAGGGCUACACGCACGCUACAAUGGUCUGUACAAUGGGUAGCCAAGCCGCGAGGCGGAGCCAAUCCUGAAAGCAGGCCUCAGUUCAGAUUGCAGUCUGCAACUCGACUGCAUGAAGCCGGAGUUGCUAGUAACCGCAGGUCAGCAAUACUGCGGUGAAUACGUUCCCGGGUCUU
RNAcentral lists this ribosomal RNA (464 nucleotides) under uncultured Anaerolineaceae bacterium. RNAcentral's name for it is "bacterial SSU rRNA". It matches the Rfam family "Bacterial small subunit ribosomal RNA", at positions 902 to 1382 of the family's 1533-position model. Lineage: Bacteria; Bacillati; Chloroflexota; Anaerolineae; Anaerolineales; Anaerolineaceae. The record is from RNAcentral.